CUACAGAAAGUUUUUAUUACAAUGUACAUUUUAUUUUAUAAUGUGCUUUCAGAGCUAGAGCAAGCCUGGGGCUCCCUGCUUUGCCUGGGUUACAGUUGUAAGAAAUCUGGGUCAGUGAAGGAAUAGCAGCAGCAAGUGUCUGAUGUCGGAAGCCCUGGCCUAAGAGGAGACCUGGGACCAGCUACUUCUUUCCUCUUGCAGGAGCCCUGGACACCUACCGAUAGCAGCUGCUAGAAUUAGGAUUGUCCCAGUCCUUUGGACAAAGGACUAAAGGCAGCUCCCCUUCUGACUCUGCUCUAAGGCUCCACCUUGCCAAGCCCAUAAUGUGUAUCCAAGUACUAUCAAGAGGCUGAGACAACUGCAGCUUUGUGGAGUCCUGAGUGUGUAUCUUUUCUCAUUGUGCUUCAUGUGACGGGAAAUACCUUCUUUUGGAGGGGUCACAGAGAGAUUGAGAGAGAGGCAGAGACAUAGGCAGAGGGAGAAGCAGGCUCCAUGCAGGGAGCCCGACGUGGGAUUCGAUCCCGGGUCUCCGGGAUCGCGCCCUGGGCCAAAGGCAGGCGCCAAACCGCUGCGCCACCCAGGGAUCCCUAUAAUUGACUAUUCUUAAUGGACUAUGACAACUGUAUAAAAGGUGUGCCAGAAGAAUGAUUUUGUCUGCUCCAUCAGUCAGCUAUCACUGGCUAAUAUGGUGUCACCAUAACCUGCACAACUUCAGUGACUCACUGCAAUAAUGGUUUCUCUCUCAUUUGUGUUUCACAUCCACGAUGGGUGAGCUGCCACAUGCUGGCUCCGCGGCAGAGGAAAGGACAAGUUGAAAAACACAAGAGCUUCUAAAGAUUUUGUUCGAAAUGACAUGUUUGUUCGUUUCAUUGGCCAUUGCCCUCUAUGAUGGGUCUGGUAGGGAAAGACACCAACAUUCUGACCAUAAUGUGGUCUAUCAUAUAUAUCUUUGAAAUUGUACCAUAUAAGCUGGAGCUUCCCAGCUGGUAUCUAAGAGUCCCAUUGUCAGCUUGUGCUGUGAUGGGAAAAGGGUUGGAAAGCAUGGAAGCAGUUCCAGGAGACCUCCAAGGAAUGGUGAUGUCGAGUCACAGAGGGAGUUCUGAGGGUAUGCUUGUCUCCUUUGGAGCUCAGAAGUUAUAGCUGCCUUACUUUGUCUUCACACCCCAAUCUUGUUCAGUCUAACGUUGACAUCUAUUUUAUCCCAUAUGCCCUUCUGCUCUGCUUACACUAUAGUUGGAGCACUUUUAAUCUGUACUCUGGCCUACUUUGGUGAUAACCUAGACAAGUCACUUUGCCUGCUUCCUUUUCUCAUAACAGCCAAGAGAUCUUUCUAAAAUUCCUUUAGAGGUCCCUAUUGUGAAGCCGGCAUUAUUCACCCUUCUUAGGGUGACCUCUCCUGUCUCUUCUCUCCCAGAAUCUCCCCAACAGUAGCUGGUCUGGUCACAGCAAACCAGAGGUCCUGGAAUCUACCAGUUUGGAAUUUUCUUACCUAAUGGGCCUUUCUUGAACCAGCUGCCUAGUUCAGAUAAGCCCUCAAGUAUGAACCCUGCCAUCUAUAAUAUUGGACUUAGAUGCUCCCCUGUGUUAUGUUUCCUGCCCAAAGUGAGUCUGACCCAUGACAGUAUCCCAGUGUCUAGCAUGAGUGAAUGUUUCUGGAUGGGAAGAACUAGUAUAAAAAUGUCUUCUCACAUUAAUUUAUAGAUUCAGCACUAUAAAAGAUUUUAUAAUGAUUUGCAGGGAAAAGAUACAAAAAAUUCUUGCAAGAAACUACAGGGUAAAAAAAAAAAAAAAAA
RNAcentral lists this long non-coding RNA (1793 nucleotides) under Canis lupus familiaris (dog). RNAcentral describes it as "lncRNA (ENSCAFG00000053243.1, ENSCAFG00805023688.1)". Lineage: Eukaryota; Metazoa; Chordata; Mammalia; Carnivora; Canidae. The record is from RNAcentral.